This is a non-coding RNA of Coffea arabica (coffee), 2076 nucleotides long. The record is from RefSeq and is a predicted model, not a curated record. NCBI's taxonomy places the organism in Eukaryota, Viridiplantae, Streptophyta, Magnoliopsida, Gentianales, Rubiaceae.
GUACCACUUCUCACAUGUUUCACCGCCACCCUCUCAGAAACUUUCUCAAAGUCUCUCACUUCUCAAAAUUUUUUCCCCUGCUCUUCGUUUGCCCCACCAGAACAUAUUAGAAAAAAGGCAGAUGACUCCUUUGUCUCACUCAUUCCUUCUCACUUCUUUGUUAAUGGCCGAUUCCUCUCAAGCUUUCUCUUCAAAUAACAGUAAAGGGGAAACAAAGAUGAAGGGGAAAGAUGUUUGAUUCAUCUCAGUCAUCUGAAUCAUUUUUUUCCCCAAAUGUAAUCAUGGAGCAAGAACCAUCGUCCCUCUACUAAGAUGUGGAAAAAUCUGAUAUAGUGUUGUAGUUGCAUGUUUGAAGAUUUUGUCAUGGAUUACUAACAUUCCUCAGUGGGUGAAUGGUGAAAAUUUGAGCCAGAGGUGAUGGUAAUUUUACUAGAAGCUUUAAGAUUUUAAAUGAUUAACUCGUAAAUGCUUCAAAUUGAAUAGCAAGAGGUAUAUCUACACUUCCUUCAGGGUUUGCCUCAAUGUACUUGAUUAUACAGAUAUACUAUGGGAAAUUCUAUGUAAAAAACUCCACAAUUAAAUAAAAUUUUUCUUAACUUUCACCCUUUUGUUUGCCUAGACAAAACAUGAAGGAACUUCAUUAUGCAGUUUAUUUUUGAUAUUUUCUUAACUUCAACAGGCUGAUAUUUUUUCCUGCCUGUAAGCUGACAUGUAAUUGAUCUUUUGGAGGUGAUGAUCUGAUGAAAAUAGAGGGAUAUUUGCUUGUGAAUUAGCAAUCAAUAGCUGCUUCGAGUUCGUCUGUUUCUGAAACCAAUCAUAACUACUUGUCCAUCUCCUUGGUAUUUAUGCUAUCGGAAUUUUUUAUCUUUCAGGAUUUUGAUUGCGUGUAUCGUAUUAAAAAUGUGGAGUUUCAUUCUAAUCACCACAUUGAAAUAUGUAACCUACUUCAGGAUACAUGUCAUUUGGGUCGAUUUAGGUAGUGAUGAACUACCAUAUAUUGGUUUUGAUGUCGUUUGGGUAGAUUUUGCUACGUCACUUCCCCUGCUGUCCUGGGAUUUGAAUUUGUUGCCUCCACUGGAGCAUUAUGGCUUUCAACCUACUUUUACAGCAAAAAGGAAAUUGUGUAUUCAAAAAUAGAAUUGACUUUAUUCAACCUACCUUUUUGAAUUGUGUAUUCAAAAAUAGAAAGAAGGGGCAAAGUUUGAGAAAUUGACUAGGAAUUGACUUUAUUAGUGAAAAAAAUUUGAGUUUCAGUUAAGGUGAUUCUUAGUAUGUUCUUCCCAGCAACUGCAAAACUUUUUCUGCCAGCAAUGUGCUAACCCAGUGGUCCACCUUUUGGUUUUUUGCAAGGGGGCAAGGACGUUUUUGCUUGCAUGAUGCUAGAUAAUAAUCCCAUUUACCAAGCUUUUAUUGUCUCCAAACGAGGCUAGAAUCAUUGGAGUUCAUAGUAAGCUUUCCUAAUACAACCUGAGAACCUAAAUUGUAUCCUACCCUGUUUCUUUAGCAAAUGCUCUCUCUACCUCUCUCUACAUCAGAGACACACACUACACCCUGUUUUUUUUAUUUCCUUCUAUAGUUUCCUUUUUUCUGUUUUUAAAUAGACUAAUAGGUCAUCUACAUGUUUUUUGAACACCAUCAAAUGUUCAAACAUGUUAGAGAUGCUACCUCGAUUUUGUUGACUUGAUAUAUGAUGAAUCAAGAAGCCAAUUAUAUUUUAAGAGAUGCCAUACACCUACUUAGAUCAGAAGUUGUAGUGGUUUGACUGAAAAAUGUUGUUCACAUUUUGGUUGUUGAUUAUUAUAGAAAUUGGCUACUGUCACGUUGGCUAAGGUCCUAAGGAUAACUUGAGACGCGGUGAAGAGGAGGAUGAUGAUGAUGUUGCUAUUCAAGAAAAGGCAAGGCAGCCAGAUAAUUGGAAAAAUAAAAAAUGAUAACCUACAUCGUGUUGGCAGUCAGAAGCUCAAUUGUUAUAGAGAUUAUUUUCAUGUGGAUAGUAAUUCUUGUAAUGUUAGUCUUGUAUUUUAAAGAUAAAUAGAUAAGUUUUAACUUCAGUAGCAGUGAAAGUCUAAUUAUCCA